AGAGUUUGAUCCUGGCUCAGGAUGAACGCUAGCGACAGGCUUAACACAUGCAAGUCGAGGGGCAGCGGAGGCGAGUGCUUGCACUUGCCAGACGGCGACCGGCGCACGGGUGAGUAACACGUAUGCGACCUGCCCGUAGCAGGGGGAUAAGCGGAAGAAAUUCCGUCUAAUACCGCGUAAUAUCUUUCGGGGGCAUCCCUGAGGGAUUAAAGGAAGCGAUUCCGGCUACGGAUGGGCAUGCGGCGCAUUAGCUAGUCGGCGGGGUAACGGCCCACCGAGGCGACGAUGCGUAGGGGUUCUGAGAGGAAGGUCCCCCACACUGGUACUGAGACACGGACCAGACUCCUACGGGAGGCAGCAGUGAGGAAUAUUGGUCAAUGGGCGAGAGCCUGAACCAGCCAAGUCGCGUGAGGGAAGACGGUCCUAUGGAUUGUAAACCUCUUUUGUCGGGGAGCAAAAAGGCCUCGUGAGGCCACAAGCGAGAGUACCCGAAGAAAAAGCAUCGGCUAACUCCGUGCCAGCAGCCGCGGUAAUACGGAGGAUGCGAGCGUUAUCCGGAUUUAUCGGGUUUAAAGGGUGCGCAGGCGGAAUGUCAAGUCAGCGGUAAAAUUUCGGGGCUCAACCCCGUCGUGCCGUUGAAACUGGCGUUCUUGAGUGAGCGAGAAGUAUGCGGAAUGCGUGGUGUAGCGGUGAAAUGCAUAGAUAUCACGCAGAACUCCGAUUGCGAAGGCAGUAUACCGGCGCUCAACUGACGCUCAUGCACGAAAGCGUGGGUAUCGAACAGGAUUAGAUACCCUGGUAGUCCACGCAGUAAACGAUGAAUACUAACUGUCCGGGCCGAUUGAGGUCUGGGUGGUACAGCGAAAGCGUUAAGUAUUCCACCUGGGGAGUACGCCGGCAACGGUGAAACUCAAAGGAAUUGACGGGGGCCCGCACAAGCGGAGGAACAUGUGGUUUAAUUCGAUGAUACGCGAGGAACCUUACCCGGGCUCAAACGACGGAUGGAUGUUUUUGAAAGAAGGCAGCCCUUCGGGGCAUCCGUCGAGGUGCUGCAUGGUUGUCGUCAGCUCGUGCCGUGAGGUGUCGGCUUAAGUGCCAUAACGAGCGCAACCCCCAUCGCCAGUUACCAGCAAGUAAAGUUGGGGACUCUGGCGAGACUGCCGGCGCAAGCUGUGAGGAAGGCGGGGAUGACGUCAAAUCAGCACGGCCCUUACGUCCGGGGCGACACACGUGUUACAAUGGCAGGUACAGAGAGAAGCGAUGCGGCGACGCAGAGCGGAACUUCAAAGCCUGUCUCAGUUCGGAUUGGAGUCUGCAACCCGACUCCAUGAAGCUGGAUUCGCUAGUAAUCGCGCAUCAGCCACGGCGCGGUGAAUACGUUCCCGGGCCUUGCACUCACCGCCCGUCAAG
RNAcentral lists this ribosomal RNA (1410 nucleotides) under uncultured bacterium. RNAcentral describes it as "bacterial SSU rRNA". It matches the Rfam family "Bacterial small subunit ribosomal RNA". The record is from RNAcentral.